AGGCAGCAGUAGGGAAUAUUGGGCAAUGGAGGGAACUCUGACCCAGCCACGCCGCGUGCAGGAGGAAGGCGCUCUGCGUUGUAAACUGCUUUAGCAGGGGAAGAAAAAGGCCAUGCGUGGCAAAUUGACGGUACCCUGAGAAUAAGCACCGGCUAACUACGUGCCAGCAGCCGCGGUAAUACGUAGGGUGCAAGCGUUGUCCGGAUUUAUUGGGUUUAAAGGGUGCGUAGGCGGCCUGUUAAGUCAGUGUUUAAAUUUUGCAGCUUAACUGUAGGUAUGGCAUUGAUACUGAUGGGCUUGAAUAUUAGAGAGGUAGCUAGAAUUUAUGGUGUAGCGGUGAAAUGCAUAGAUACCAUAAGGAACACCGAUAGCGGAGGCAUGUUACCAUCUGGUUAUUGACGCUGAGGCACGAAAGUGUGGGGAUCAAACCAGGAUUAGAUACCCUGGUAG
This 450-nucleotide ribosomal RNA is filed under the name uncultured bacterium. RNAcentral's name for it is "bacterial SSU rRNA". It matches the Rfam family "Bacterial small subunit ribosomal RNA", at positions 346 to 793 of the family's 1533-position model. The record is from RNAcentral.